This 265-nucleotide ribosomal RNA is filed under the name uncultured prokaryote. RNAcentral's name for it is "partial 16S ribosomal RNA". It matches the Rfam family "Bacterial small subunit ribosomal RNA", at positions 524 to 788 of the family's 1533-position model. The record is from RNAcentral.
UACGUAGGGUGCGGGCGUUGUCCGGAAUUAUUGGGCGUAAAGAGCUUGUAGGCGGUUUGUCGCGUCUGCUGUGAAAAUCCGGGGCUCAACCCCGGACUCGCAGUGGGUACGGGCAGACUAGAGUGUGGUAGGGGAGACUGGAAUUCCUGGUGUAGCGGUGAAAUGCGCAGAUAUCAGGAGGAACACCGAUGGCGAAGGCAGGUCUCUGGGCCACUACUGACGCUGAGAAGCGAAAGCAUGGGGAGCGAACAGGAUUAGAUACCCU